RNAcentral lists this transfer RNA (65 nucleotides) under Dipodomys ordii (Ord's kangaroo rat). It matches the Rfam family "tRNA". From Rfam's summary of the family: Transfer RNA (tRNA) molecules are approximately 80 nucleotides in length. Their secondary structure includes four short double-helical elements and three loops (D, anti-codon, and T loops). The record is from Rfam by way of RNAcentral. Lineage: Eukaryota; Metazoa; Chordata; Mammalia; Rodentia; Heteromyidae.
GGUGGCUCAGUGGUAGAGCGCUUGUCUUGCAUGCAUGAGGCCCUGGGUUCCAUUCCUCAGUACCA